GUAAGAUGGAAACAUGAAGGACAAAACUGUGAAACACUCGUAGGAUAAGGCCAUGGCUCAUGGCCGGCGGUUCCUGGCUCAUGGCCGGCGGCGGUUGCUGGCUCUUCCACAAUCCUCUGCAUUGCUAGCGGCCUCUGGCGUCCUAGAAGCAGAGAGAGGAGGAGCUGCGUGAGAGAGAGAGAGAGAGAAGGGAGAGAGACCGGGGAGGGAGAGGGCGCGGUGGUGGAGCCUGGUGCGGCGAACUGGCGGCGGCGAGCUGUGGGGGCGGUUGAGGGCGCCCAGAUCCGGUCGGUGGAGGCAGUUGGCGGAGCUCCGGCCGGCGGGGCUCCUUGGAUGCGGUGGCGACAACAGUUGACCUGCAGGGUGUCUCGGUUAGGAGAGAAAAGAGAAGGGAGGAGGAAGGAGAUGGUAGGCGGGACAGCGGUGGUCGCCGGCGGCAAGGUCCCCGGAGCGCCGCGGGGGUUGGGCAGCUCGGCCUCUCCCGAUCCAUACGGGAUCGAGGCAGGCGGCGCGCUGCAGUUGUCCACAGCCAGGGCCGGGGGUUGAUUGCGUUUUUUUAUUUAGAUCUAGGGGUGUUUACGUCAAUUUUUGCCAAGUCAGCAUCUUACAAUCAGAGCCCACCUGUCAGGAAAGUGCUUAAAUGGGCUAAAUCCCCCUGAUCAGUGUUUUCUGAAAAAAGAUUACUGAAUGUGCGGCGGCUUUUGCAAAAAAUUAGGGGCUGGGUAUUUUUUCGCAAACUUAACAUCAAAUGUGGUGUUCUUUUGCUUUUAACUCCCUUGGACGCAUAAGUUUAGGCCUUACCAGUGUGCAGUUGCCUGACGACAACUCCAAAAAAAUAAGGAAUAGAUAUGUACUCCCUCCGUCCCAUAAUAUAAGAGGUUUUUUUGAUACAGGAAGUAGAAUGCAGUAGUUUCGGAGGAUGGGCAGGCUACGUUUUGGCAUUUGGUGGAUUAUUAUGAUAAUGCCGUCUGUAAGACAAUCUUUUGUCUGUAUUACGGUUUGGCAGCCAACCUUAACAAUGUUUCCACACCUACCUUCUCAUUGCAGAUUAUACAAAGCCGGGCCUAACAAGUUUGUCGACGCUCAACAUUUCCAGUCGCUCGCUGCCACCAAGCUCCACUGGCUUGCUCGACGCGCAUCAACCAAAUCUAGAAGCACAACCAAGUCCGUCAUCAGGUGCCCCUCCUAGAGACGCUUCUCAUCAGCAACAACCUGAGACGUCCGUCCGUCCGAGGGUCCAUCUCGGGCUGCCGAGCGCACUGCAUCCCGUGUGACAACGAUGAAGCAACAGAUCGGCCAUGCUAGGGAGAAAACGACGGUCACGCGCCGUGUCCGGAGAAGAUCGCUUUCGGCCUUGCCAUCGAUCUAUCUAAUCUACCUAACGGCGGUGUGAACUGGAGAUAAGCCUAACCUAGAGAGAAAGAGAGCUUCCUCCCAGGUGAUGGAUAAAGCAACGGCAACCGAAGAUGACGCCCUCUGCCAACUGCUGAAAGAUGUUAGUGCUUCGGGUUAAGGGUUGGUAGAAGAUCAUGCGCAAUUAGCUAUGCAUUGUUCAAUUAAAUUAAAUUGGAACAAGAUGAUGCACAAUCUGACAGAUCGAAAGGAUGAACUCAUUGUGUGUAUAGCUGAUUCAUCGAAUUCAUAUUGUCCGAUUA
Triticum aestivum (bread wheat) is the source of this 1655-nucleotide long non-coding RNA. RefSeq lists it as uncharacterized. The record is from RefSeq and is a predicted model, not a curated record. NCBI's taxonomy places the organism in Eukaryota, Viridiplantae, Streptophyta, Magnoliopsida, Poales, Poaceae. The transcript is spliced from 2 exons.